The submitters of this non-coding RNA (54 nucleotides) gave its source as unclassified sequences. The record is from Rfam.
UAACGUUGAACCCUAUGAGGUUGCAAUAAAACCGACCAUGCAACGGGGGUCGGU